GGGGGGGGGGGGGGGGGGGGUGGGGGCGUGGGGGGCGGGCGGGGGGGGGCUGCUUGGGUGGGGGGCUCGGGUGGCGAACGGGUGAGUAACACGUGAGUAACCUGCCCUUGGCUUUGGGGUAACUUCAGGAAACUGGGGCGAAUACCGGAUAGGAGCUCCUGCUGCAUGGUGGGGGUUGGAAAGUUUCGGCGGUUGGGGAUGGACUCGCGGCUUAUCAGCUUGUUGGUGGGGUAGUGGCUUACCAAGGCUUUGACGGGUAGCCGGCCUGAGAGGGUGACCGGCCACAUUGGGACUGAGAUACGGCCCAGACUCCUACGGGAGGCAGCAGUGGGGAAUAUUGCACAAUGGGCGGAAGCCUGAUGCAGCAACGCCGCGUGCGGGAUGACGGCCUUCGGGUUGUAAACCGCUUUCGCCUGUGACGAAGCGUGAGUGACGGUAAUGGGUAAAGAAGCACCGGCUAACUACGUG
This 468-nucleotide ribosomal RNA is filed under the name uncultured bacterium. Its description in RNAcentral is "partial 16S ribosomal RNA". It matches the Rfam family "Bacterial small subunit ribosomal RNA", at positions 35 to 507 of the family's 1533-position model. The record is from RNAcentral.